GACGAACGCUGGCGGCGUGCUUAACACAUGCAAGUCGAACGGAAAGGCCCUGCUUUUGUGGGGUGCUCGAUUGGCGAACGGGUGAGUAACACGUGAGUAACCUGCCCUUGACUUUGGGAUAACUUCAGGAAACUGCGGCUAUUACCGGAUAGAAGCUCCUGCUGCAUGUUGGUGGUUGGUAAGUUUCGGCGGUUGGGUAUCGACUCGCGGCUUAUCAGCUUGUUGGUGGGGUAGUGGCUUACCAAGGUUUUGACGGGUAGCCGGCCUGAGAGGGUGACCGGCCACAUUGGGACUGAGAUACGGCCCAGACUGCUACGGGAGGCAGCAGUGGGGAAUAUUGCACAAUGGGCGGAAGCCUGAUGCAGCAACGCCGCGUGCGGGAUGACGGCCUUCGGGUUGUAAACCGCUUUCGCCUGUGACGAAGCGUGAGUGACGGUAAUGGGUAAAGAAGCACCGGCUAACUACGUG
This 468-nucleotide ribosomal RNA is filed under the name uncultured bacterium. Its description in RNAcentral is "partial 16S ribosomal RNA". It matches the Rfam family "Bacterial small subunit ribosomal RNA", at positions 28 to 507 of the family's 1533-position model. The record is from RNAcentral.